Non-coding RNA from Schizosaccharomyces pombe (fission yeast), 1227 nucleotides. The record is from the annotation of a GenBank genome assembly. NCBI's taxonomy places the organism in Eukaryota, Fungi, Ascomycota, Schizosaccharomycetes, Schizosaccharomycetales, Schizosaccharomycetaceae.
GAUUAAUCCGUCUUAAUAAUAACUUUCCCUUUACAACGAUGAGUCAUCAAACGGUUGAAGGCCUCAACAGUAUCUUCAAAGUCAUAUACACUAUCGAUGACUGUUUUGAUAUUAUGCUUCAUCACAAAAUCGACAAAAUCACGUAGCAUUUCCUGAUCUACGUGCAAAAGGAUAUUAUAGUAGCUAUGGGAUGAUCCACCUAGUACACGAGGACGAAGAGUACGUGAUAAGCGACUGCCAACGUAUGACAAAGUAAUAUCACCUCCAAUUCCAAAAAAUGCGCCGUCAGGCUUGACAAAUUUACUUGAAGCUCGGUAUAAAACAUUAUCGUUAACACAAUCAAAUACGAAAUCAUAGGGUCCUAGAUCAGCCAAGCGCUCAACGAGGUUGUCCUUUUUAUAGUCGAGUGUAUGAGUGGCACCCAAAGAUUUACAGAGAUCCAAGUUCUCGGUUGAGGAAAUCGUAGUGACUUCACAUUCCAAAGCUUUAGCUAACGCAACUGCAAACGUACCAACACCUCCACUAGCUCCCUCGAUAACCAAUUUGGUACCUGGCUUUACCUUCAUUUGUCGGACCAAUACCUCCCAGGCGGUUAAUCCAGCAAUACCGAACCCGGCACCCUCAUUGAACGAAACACCAUCGGGAAGGUGCCAAACAUCCUUAUCGCCCGUAACGAUGUGUGUAGCACAUGAACCACCUUGGCGACCUGCACGAGGAAAGGACUGACAACCCCAAACACGCUGAGUGGCGGAGAAUUCCUUGACCUCUGAUCCCACAGCUAGUACACGACCAGCAAAAUCAUAACCCGGAAUGUUUGGAAGCUUGAAGAGUGCCUUGGCAAUCAUUUGGUAAGUGUUCAUCAGCUUGUAAUCAAGCGGAUUGAUACUGGUAGCGACCACUUCAACGAGAACAUCAUACGGUCCCAGCUCCGCAGGAUUGGGUAUAUGCAAGCCCUUUUCCAGGUACAAAACAUCCUUCGGCUUGCCAGUACGGUUGUAAAGCCAAGCGGACUUGGUUCCAAACUCACUUUUGGUUUCGCUACUCAUUUUAACUAGAUGCUAAGAAAAAAUGGGUAUAAAAUGCAAAUAUCAAAUGAAACUUAUUAAAUUUGUGCAACAAUUUACACAAUAAAGUAGGUUAACUUUCGUUUACACGGCUAUUUGAAUUCAGUAACAAUAAAAAGAAAAGCAAAACCGCUUAAGCUCAACGCCUAGUAAUAGUGUCACA